Molecule: ribosomal RNA, 459 nt
Filed under: uncultured bacterium
Lineage: Bacteria
Description: partial 16S ribosomal RNA
Rfam family: Bacterial small subunit ribosomal RNA
Source: RNAcentral
CUACGGGUGGCAGCAGUGAGGAAUAUUGGUCAAUGGACGAGAGUCUGAACCAGCCAAGUAGCGUGACGGAUGACUGCCCUAUGGGUUGUAAACUUCUUUUAUUUGGGAAUAAAAUGUUCCACGUGUGGGAUUUUGUAUGUACCAUAUGAAUAAGGAUCGGCUAACUCCGUGCCAGCAGCCGCGGGAAUACGGAGGAUUCGUGCGUUAUCCGGAUUUAUUGGGGUUAAAGGGAGAGUAGGUGGAUUGUUAAGUCAGUGGUGAAAGUUUGGGGCUCAACCGGAAAAUUGCAGUUGAAACUGGCAGUCUUGAGUACAGUAGAGGUGGGCGGAAUUCGUGGUAUAGCGGUGAAAUGCUUAGAUAUCACGAAGAACUCCGAUUGCGAAGGCAGUUCACUGGACUGCAACUGACACUGAGGCUCGAAAGUGUGGGUAUCAAACAGGAUUAGAUACCCCAGUAGUC